UAAGAUAUGUUUUAUAAAUUAUUUUGUUUAUGAUACAUCAUAAUGGUUUUGACAUUGACUGCAAAGUCGUAUACAUAUAGAUGUAAUAAAUUCAGGAUGCCAGCCGUGUUCAUGGGUUUGAUAAAACUGCAAACCAGACCAGAACCAGCUCAAAUGAGACCGGUGUGGUUAACCCGAGGCGGGUUGGGUUGGUUUCUCUCUUAAUCCGGACAAGUCAUGGACUAUAUAUGAUCGCGUUGUGGGUAUAACCAUGGAAACCAGCCAAACUGGUCCCCUGCUCCGUGUUUCACUCUAGAAACUAGCAUCCUCCAUGAUCCUAUCGGAAUCGAGUUCUUUGUCUUCCACACCAAAUCGUGCCUCCCUUCCUUUAGUCAUGGCAUUGCUUUAAUAUUUUCACAGCAGAUCCACUUUAUCCCGCUGGAAUCAAACAUGCCCACCCAGAAAUUCAGUCAAGGUUCAAGAUAAGUAUUGUGGAACAAGUUUUGUCGUCUCCUUGUUUUUUCAUUAGAUCGUUUGCGAUGUCAAGCUAGAGUCACUGGAGAAUAAAUUCUUCCUAUUUACUGUGUCUGUCUCAUAUGACUGCUAAAUUGCUAAUGAAGUAGUGACAUUUGACAUGAAUGCAUCUGUCCACUCCAUGAACACUGAUUUUGUCACGACAGCAAGAUUGAAUAAGUGAAUGGGUUCAGUGGCCAUCCUUAAAAUUUAAUCUCUUAUUUCAUUGGAUGCAUACACAGUUCUUAAGGGAGAACCGUAUGCAUCAUAUGUACUUAUUGACUACACCUUUGACUGCAUAUCCUUCCAUGAAAGCUUCCUUUGUAGUGACGAAUUAACCUUUCCUGAUGUGAGACAUAUAAUGCAGAUACAUCAAUAUUAAUAUGAAGGAUUCAAGUUGUCUAAGCCAAUUUAUUUAUUUAUUUAUUGCUAGAAUAUAUCAAAUCAUACA
RNAcentral lists this long non-coding RNA (943 nucleotides) under Sorghum bicolor (sorghum). RNAcentral describes it as "long non-coding RNA (SBIC_LNC009520)". Lineage: Eukaryota; Viridiplantae; Streptophyta; Magnoliopsida; Poales; Poaceae. The record is from RNAcentral.